Molecule: ribosomal RNA, 263 nt
Filed under: uncultured bacterium
Lineage: Bacteria
Description: partial 16S ribosomal RNA
Rfam family: Bacterial small subunit ribosomal RNA
Source: RNAcentral
CCUUGGCUCAACCAAGGAAGGGCAUUUGAAACUGUCUGGCUUGAGUACGGGAGGGGGAAGUGGAAUUCCCGGUGUAGAGGUGAAAUUCGUAGAUAUCGGGAGGAACACCGGUGGCGAAGGCGGCUUCCUGGACCGAUACUGACGCUGAGACGCGAAAGCGUGGGGAGCAAACAGGAUUAGAUACCCUGGUAGUCCACGCCUUAAACGUUGGGCACUAGGUGUUGUGGGUAUUGACCCCUGCAGUGCCAAGGGCGAAUUCCACA